RNAcentral lists this ribosomal RNA (466 nucleotides) under uncultured bacterium. RNAcentral's name for it is "bacterial SSU rRNA". It matches the Rfam family "Bacterial small subunit ribosomal RNA", at positions 339 to 796 of the family's 1533-position model. The record is from RNAcentral.
AUACGGGAGGCAGCAGUGGGGAAUUGUUCGCAAUGGGCGCAAGCCUGACGACGCAACGCCGCGUGGAGGAUGAAGAUCUUCGGGUCGUAAACUCCUUUCGAUCGGGACGAAUUCUGCCGGGGUGAACAAUCCCGGCAGGUGACGGUACCGAGAGAAGAAGCCCCGGCUAACUCCGUGCCAGCAGCCGCGGUAAUACGGGGGGGGCAAGCGUUGUUCGGAAUUACUGGGCGUAAAGGGCUCGUAGGCGGCCAACUAAGUCGGACGUGAAAUCCCUCGGCUUAACCGGGGAACUGCGUCCGAUACUGGAUGGCUUGAGUUCGGGAGAGGGAUGCGGAAUUCCAGGUGUAGCGGUGAAAUGCGUAGAUAUCUGGAGGAACACCGGUGGCGAAGGCGGCAUCCUGGACCGACACUGACGCUGAGGAGCGAAAGCCAGGGGAGCAAACGGGAUUAGAUACCCCGGUAGUCC